This 572-nucleotide ribosomal RNA is filed under the name Exserohilum turcicum. RNAcentral's name for it is "eukaryotic LSU rRNA". The stretch from base 194 to 347 matches the Rfam family "5.8S ribosomal RNA". The record is from RNAcentral. Lineage: Eukaryota; Fungi; Ascomycota; Dothideomycetes; Pleosporales; Pleosporaceae.
GCGGAGGGAUCAUUACACAACAAAAAUAUGAGGGUGUGGUUUGCUGGCAACAGCGUCCGCCCCAAGUAUUUUUCACCCAUGUCUUUUGCGCACUUUUUGUUUCCUGGGCGAGUUCGCUCGCCACCAGGACCCAACCAUAAACCUUUUUUUAUGCAGUUGCAAUCAGCGUCAGUAUAAUAAUUCAAUUUAUUAAAACUUUCAACAACGGAUCUCUUGGUUCUGGCAUCGAUGAAGAACGCAGCGAAAUGCGAUACGUAGUGUGAAUUGCAGAAUUCAGUGAAUCAUCGAAUCUUUGAACGCACAUUGCGCCCUUUGGUAUUCCAAAGGGCAUGCCUGUUCGAGCGUCAUUUGUACCCUCAAGCUUUGCUUGGUGUUGGGCGUCUUUUUGUCUCUCCCCUUGUUGGGGGAGACUCGCCUUAAAACGAUUGGCAGCCGACCUACUGGUUUUCGGAGCGCAGCACAAAUUUGCGCCUUCCAAUCCACGGGGCGGCAUCCAGCAAGCCUUUGUUUUCUAUAACAAAUCCACAUUUUGACCUCGGAUCAGGUAGGGAUACCCGCUGAACUUAAGCAUA